CUCUGCCCCUCUAAACGCGAUCGUGGCAAUUAUGUAUCGAAAUAUGUUAAACGCGAACAUUCUGUACGAUUAUUAUAACUAGUGAUUAACGACUCGUGUUAAUGAAUGUGACAAUCAUUAAUAAUAGUCUCGACCAUGACGUCAUGAAUAACGGAAGUUAUUCGAAGCAGCCUUGCUACGACAAGCUGCGUGCGAGUUUGCCUACGUGAUCCUCGAAUAUCGAACGUAUCGUUGCUUUGUGCGAUUAUAGUUUUUGCGUCGUUUUGCGAUGUAUAUUAAAUCCUCAUCGGGAGUGUCGUCAAGUGUCGCGCGAUCGUAAUUAAUCAUGUUUUCGCGAGUACCGCGAGUGCUAAGAAGGAGAAGUAAUGCACGAGGAAGAGAGGAGGAGGGGGAAGAGGAGAACUGGGCAGUCAUCGAGCGACAAAGGAGCAACUAUGGGGUACCAGACAUUACGCAGUCAAGUAUUAAUUAGUAAUUGUCGUUCUACCAUUCCACCUGAUAGAAGUCACCGAUGGAAAAU
Molecule: long non-coding RNA, 520 nt
Organism: Camponotus floridanus (Florida carpenter ant)
Lineage: Eukaryota; Metazoa; Arthropoda; Insecta; Hymenoptera; Formicidae
Exons: 3
Source: RefSeq, a predicted model, not a curated record